RNAcentral lists this ribosomal RNA (485 nucleotides) under uncultured bacterium. RNAcentral's name for it is "bacterial SSU rRNA". It matches the Rfam family "Bacterial small subunit ribosomal RNA", at positions 40 to 507 of the family's 1533-position model. The record is from RNAcentral.
CGGCGCACAUAAGACAUGCAAGUCGAACGGGAAGUCGUUACAAAACGGAUUGAAGAUUUAUCAGAUUGAAGUUUUGUAACAAUGGCUUUAGUGGCGGACUGGUGAGUAACACGUAAGCAAUCUACCUAUUAGAGGGGAAUAACAAUGAGAAAUCAUUGCUAAUACCGCAUAAGCUUGUAGCAUCGCAUGAUGCAGCAGAAAAGGAGCAAUCCGCUAAUAGAUGAGCUUGCGGCUGAUUAGCUAGUUGGUGUGGUAACGGCAUACCAAGGCAACGAUCAGUAGCCGAGCUGAGAGGCUCUUCGGCCACAUUGGGACUGAGAUACGGCCCAGACUCCUACGGGAGGCAGCAGUCGGGAAUAUUGCGCAAUGGAGGAAACUCUGACGCAGUGACGCCGCGUAUAGGAAGAAGGUUUUAGGAUUGUAAACUAUUUUAGUCAGGGAAGAAAAAGACGGUACCUGAAGAAUAAGCUCCGGCUAACUACGUG